Molecule: long non-coding RNA, 452 nt
Organism: Alosa sapidissima (American shad)
Lineage: Eukaryota; Metazoa; Chordata; Actinopteri; Clupeiformes; Clupeidae
Exons: 3
Source: RefSeq, a predicted model, not a curated record
AAUACUAUGAUUUUAACACUUUCGUGAUUGUUAUUGACAGAAGCAAUGUAUUGUUGCCAAAAAGUGGCAUAUCUCCCACUCAUGAGGACCAUGACUGUCCACGGAUGUAGCAGAAAAGAGAAAGGAGGAGGGUGAAGGCAGAGUCCCACCAGUUCACAAGUGGACCAGAGGAAAGAGUCAGACGAAGUCCCAGAAAGAGGGCAAAAGAGGAAGGAGUCUGACUGCCUCUGCAGUCUGCAUGGAAAGGAAUUACAACUGUUCUGUCAAGAAGAUAGAGAGCUGGUGUGCUAUGAAUGUCGAAACUCGAAAAAUCACAAGUCUCACAACUUCAGACCAAUCCGUAGAACAGUGCCUGACCUUAAGGAGGAGCUCAGGCUUAAAGUGGUGCCACUGAAGAGACAGAUUGAAUUACAUGAAGAAGUGAAGGUCACCUGUGAAGAAACAGCAAAGCA